GCAGCCCUCCAAACGAUUUCAAAACCAUUUGAUAGCCCACAUACGUUAAGUACACUCGUUGUACUUUCAUUUGUCACUGGUUUGAGCCUCAUCCGAGUCGUAUACAACAUGUACCCAUACUACAAGAAAUAUAUGUUUCAACGRCGAAAAAAAUUAGUGGCAAAAAACGCGUCCGUCACAUAAUAUGGGACGCAAAGUGUUUUCGUUGCUAAAAUAUGCGACGAAGUAACUUUGGUCGCAUAUUUAUGGGACGCAAAUGAUUUCGUCGCAUAAAUAUGCAGCAGCAUGAAAUCCCUAAUUUCUAAUUUCUCACCAUCGCAUCUCCUUGCUCUCUCUGUUCGCCACCCUGUCCCUCUACUCUCUCCACCGUCGGUUGCUGUUGCCUCACCGCCCUCCUCCGAUUCGACUUCACGUGCUGCCACUGCCGCCCUCUCUAUUCUCUCUUCCCGCCUCUGCCUUGCCAUCGCCUCGCCGCCGCCCUCUCUACUCUUUCCCCACCGCCUCUGCCUUGCCGUCGCCUCGCUGUUGCCCUCGUGAAUUUCUCUGAGCAGGAGACGCAACAACAAUUAGAGAGAGCAUUGGCAGCUGAAAGACAAGCGACUGAACAACAGCUAGAAAGGCAACGCCAAGAGUUUGAAAUGAAACUUCUCGAAAUGUAUCAAACACUUGCGAGGGGAGGAAGUUCAUCACAUAGUAAAGAUCGAUGCAACGAUAUAUGGUGGAAACAUAUUUUGUAACCUUGGCUCGAUUGGAGGGAGAAUGUUAUUUAUAAAUUUAGAAAAAAUCCAAGCUAGAUGCCUUGUCCAAUUCCGAGAAUGGCUUUAAUGUAAAACACAAGUUUUUGUGUGUUUUGAAGCUUCCCCAAGCCCCUCCACGUGCCUCAAGUGAUCAUAGUUUUUAGUUGUUGUUGUUUUAAACUUUGUUUAUUUCAGGUUCAUCAUUUAUCUUCCAGCUUGUUAUUCUUGAGUUGUAAGUUUCAUAUUAUUCAAUUAAAACUCCAGCAAGUUCUUUGA
This is a non-coding RNA of Momordica charantia (bitter melon), 1013 nucleotides long. The record is from RefSeq and is a predicted model, not a curated record. NCBI's taxonomy places the organism in Eukaryota, Viridiplantae, Streptophyta, Magnoliopsida, Cucurbitales, Cucurbitaceae.